Molecule: ribosomal RNA, 718 nt
Filed under: uncultured bacterium
Lineage: Bacteria
Description: bacterial SSU rRNA
Rfam family: Bacterial small subunit ribosomal RNA
Source: RNAcentral
GCAAGUCGAACGGACUUAACCAUUAGUUUACUAUUGGAGCGGUUAGUGGCGGACUGGUGAGUAACACGUAAGCAACCUGCCUAUCAGAGGGGAACAACAGUUAGAAAUGACUGCUAAUACCGCAUAUGCCUAAGUACUACAUGGUACAAUAGGGAAAGGAGCAAUCCGCUGAUAGAUGGGCUUGCGUCUGAUUAGAUAGUUGGUGGGGUAAAGGCCUACCAAGUCGACGAUCAGUAGCCGGACUGAGAGGUUGAACGGCCACAUUGGGACUGAGAUACGGCCCAGACUCCUACGGGAGGCAGCAGUCGGGAAUAUUGCGCAAUGGAGGAAACUCUGACGCAGUGACGCCGCGUGCAGGAAGAAGGUUUUCGGAUUGUAAACUGCUUUAGACAGGGAAGAGACAAGACAGUACCUGUAGAAUAAGCUCCGGCUAACUACGUGCCAGCAGCCGCGGUAAUACGUAGGGAGCGAGCGUUAUCCGGAUUUAUUGGGUGUAAAGGGUGCGUAGACGGGAAAAUAAGUUAGUUGUGAAAUCCCUCGGCUUAACUGAGGAACUGCAACUAAAACUGUUUUUCUUGAGUACUGGAGAGGAAAGUGGAAUUCCUAGUGUAGCGGUGAAAUGCGUAGAUAUUAGGAGGAACACCAGUGGCGAAGGCGACUUUCUGGACAGAAACUGACGUUGAGGCACGAAAGUGUGGGGAGCAAACAGGAUUAGAUA